GACGAACGCUGGCGGCGUGCCUAACACAUGCAAGUCGAACGGGACCAGGGGCAACUCUGGUUCAGUGGCGGACGGGUGCGUAACACGUGAGGAACAUGACCUUCGGCGGGGAGUAGCCGGCCCAACGGCCGGGUAAGUACCGCGUACGACCAUUUGGGGUACGAUCCUCGAGUGGUGAAAGACAGCAAUGCGCCGAUGGAGUGCCUCGCGGCCUAUCAGCUAGUUGGUGGGGUAACGGGCNCACCAAGGCAACGACGGGGUAGCUGGUCUGAGAGGAUGGCCAGCCACAUUGGGACUGAGACACGGCCCAGACUCCUACGGGAGGCAGCAGUGGGGAA
Molecule: ribosomal RNA, 338 nt
Filed under: uncultured bacterium
Lineage: Bacteria
Description: bacterial SSU rRNA
Rfam family: Bacterial small subunit ribosomal RNA
Source: RNAcentral